GGCUUAGAAGCAGCCAUCCUUGAAAGAGUGCGUAAUAGCUCACUGGUCAAGUGGUGAUGCGCCGACAAUGUAGCGGGGCUUAAGCACACCGCCGAAGCCGCGGCGCCCUCCGUGUGGGGGGUGGGUAGGGGAGCGUCCUGCGUGGGGGGAAGCCGUCGUGUGAGCGUCGGUGGACUGCGUGGGAGUGAGAAUGCAGGCAUGAGUAACGAGUGGCGGGUGAGAAUCCCGUCCGCCGAUUGACUAAGGGUUCCAGGGCCAGGUUGAUCCGCCCUGGGUUAGUCGGGUCCUAAGGCGAGGCCGUCAGGCGUAGUCGAUGGGCAACGGGUUGACAUUCCCGUACCGGACGGCGGCCGUCCGAUGUCUGCUGGGUGGGGCGUUGUCGUCCCUGUGCGUUGUUUCUGCGCCUUUCGGGGUGUGGGGGGCGUGCGGGCGCGGGGCGUGCCUGUCUGGUGUGGCAAGCGUGGUAACAGGUGUGACGCAGUGAGGUAGCCUGUCCGUGUCUUAUGGCUUGGCACGGCCAAGGGUGUGGCCCGUCGCCGUGGUAAAUCCCGGCGGUGUGUGGGUGAGGCCUGAUGGGGACCGUUGAUGGGAAGCGGGUGAUCCUGUGCUGCCGAGAAAAGCAUCGACGCGAGGCCGUUGUCCGCCCGUACCCGAAACCGACACAGGUGGUCAGGUAGAGUAUACCGAGGCGUUCGAGUGACUCGUGGUUAAGGAACUCGGCAAAAUGCCCCCGUAACUUCGGGAGAAGGGGGGCCCUGCGCGUGGUCCGUCCGUGCGGCGGGGAGCGUGGCGGGGCCGCAGAGUCCAGGGAGAAGCGACUGUUUAUCAAAAACACAGGUCCGUGCCAAGCCGCAAGGCGAUGUAUACGGACUGACGCCUGCCCGGUGCUGGAAGGUUAAGCGGACCGGUCAGCCCCCUGUGUGGGGUGACGCCGGGAAGUUAAGCCCCAGUAAACGGCGGUGGUAACUAUAACCAUCCUAAGGUAGCGAAAUUCCUUGUCGGGUAAGUUCCGACCUGCACGAAUGGCGUAACGACUUCUCCGCUGUCUCGACCACGAACUCGGUGAAAUUGCAGUACGAGUAAAGAUGCUCGUUUCGCGCAGCAGGACGGAAAGACCCCGGGACCUUUACUGCAGCUUGGUAUGGGUGUUCGGCGCGGUUUGUGUAGGAUAGGUGGGAGACGGUGAUCCGCUCGCGCUAGCGGGCGGGGAGUCGCUGGUGAAAUACCACUCUGGCCGUGUUGGGCUCCUAACCUCGGCCCGUGAUCCGGGUCAGGGACAGUGCCUGGUGGGUAGUUUAACUGGGGCGGUUGCCUCCUAAAGGGUAACGGAGGCGCUCAAAGGUCCCCUCAGCCUGGUUGGUCAUCAGGUGGCGAGUGCAAGUGCACAAGGGGGCUUGACUGUGAGACUGACAGGUCGAGCAGGCACGAAAGUGGGAACUAGUGAUCCGGCGGUCGCGUGUGGAAGCGCCGUCGCUCAACGGAUAAAAGGUACCCCGGGGAUAACAGGCUGAUCCUGCCCAA
RNAcentral lists this ribosomal RNA (1521 nucleotides) under human oral metagenome. RNAcentral's name for it is "bacterial LSU rRNA". It matches the Rfam family "Bacterial large subunit ribosomal RNA", at positions 1103 to 2495 of the family's 2925-position model. The record is from RNAcentral.